UAAUCAACGAAUUCCAAAAUCAUUUUUCACAAUUGAAUAACGGUCACAAAAAAACUCUUUUAAUUAUUAAGAGCAUAAUAUUCAUAUUCUGGUAGUCUUAAAUAUUGGUUGUGAGAUGUUUCUUUUUAUGCAUAUAUUUAACUUUUGCUCAUUUUAAAAAAAAGUUCAAAAACUGAUGGACAAAGUAAAAUAAAUUUUAAGUAUCUUCGCAUUUGCUAUAUUUUUUCCUAAAAACACACACACAAAUAAUUUUCAAAUCAUUAAAACAUAUUAUUGUACAACGGCGCGUAGCGCCGGCAACCCCCUAGUUAGUAUAAAAACUCACCCAUACGCACAUGAUAUCGGGGGUGAUUGGUUGGGAUGUAGAAAGUGACUUUAGCUUUAAUUUCCAUCUACAACCUUAAAUAUUACCAAUCAUGUUUUAUCUUGGUUUUUAAAGCUACAACCAAAAAAUUAAAGCUACAGCAAAAACACAUAAAAAAUGGUUGUAAACAUCUUAUUUUCUAAAGCCUCAUUUUUUUAGCUGUAGGAAAUUUUAAAGCUACAUCACUUAAUGCUAAAUUAAAAAUCCUACAGACAAAAUGCUAAAGUAAAUUUUUUAUAGUUACAACCCAACCAAUCACCCCCA
Molecule: long non-coding RNA, 628 nt
Filed under: Brassica napus (rape)
Lineage: Eukaryota; Viridiplantae; Streptophyta; Magnoliopsida; Brassicales; Brassicaceae
Description: long non-coding RNA (BNAP_LNC006115)
Source: RNAcentral